Molecule: ribosomal RNA, 253 nt
Filed under: uncultured bacterium
Lineage: Bacteria
Description: partial 16S ribosomal RNA
Rfam family: Bacterial small subunit ribosomal RNA
Source: RNAcentral
UACGGGGGGUGCAAGCGUUGUUCGGAAUCAUUGGGCGUAAAGCGCGUGUAGGCGGCUUGACAAGUCAGAUGUGAAAUCCCCGGGCUUAACUCGGGAAGUGCAUUUGAAACUGUCUGGCUAGAGUAAGGGAGAGGAAAGUGGAAUUCCUGGUGUAGAGGUGAAAUUCGUAGAUAUCAGGAGGAACACCGGUGGCGAAGGCGACUUUCUGGCCCUAUACUGACGCUGAGACGCGAAAGCGUGGGUAGCAAACAGG